GUCUUAUUUCAUCUCCCUAUGUGUUUCUUUCUGCCGAAAGAUCUCUUUGAUCGUCGUUCCUCUUUCUCUCUGUAAGGUAAGAUUUGUACUGCCUUCUUAUUAUUUUUCAUGUUCUGUGCUUCGAUUGCUGUCUUUACUUCUGUUGUGUUGUCGUGUAUAUAUAUCAUGUCCGCUUCCUCCAAGAGGAAGCCGUGACGCCGGUGCGGCGUCGUUUUCUGUCGUUCAGAUUGGUCGUCGUCGGAAGUGCCGGCCUUUCCAUGGGCUUUCGGUUCCUUUCUGACUUUUCCGUUGAUGAUUUGAAGCAAACAUAUCUUUCCACAAAAAGAUAGCCCUAACGAAAACCUCCCACCUCCGACGACGUAUCAAAUGUUUCCCACCGUCGCACCGGACACACCAUCGCGUUGCCCGAGUCUUAUAUUAUUGUUGUCGUUUCUCUCCGCCACUGCUUCGCUCUAAUUGCUCAUCGACUCCGCUGCUCUCUCUCCCAAAAAUGACACCCUAAAUGACUGAUGGGUUGCCGACGGUGAGGCGCUGCAAGGUAGGUCGGUUGAAGGAGUCCAGAGCAUCUAUUGAUUCCGAUUUGGGGGUGUUUGGGAGAUGGCUACCAAAGUCCGUUCAAGGAGACGAACUAUUGAUUUAGUUUCGUCGAUUAGCAAUGGAGGUUAGACAGUUGGAUUCAUCAAGGAAAAUCACUAUUCUGAACAAUGCUUCAAGUGAGUUAAUGCAGGUAAUGUCACGUCUUUGGUGGUUCCAAUUGCUACUCUGGGAGCCGUGAGUUAUGGAUACAUGUGGUCGUAGGCCUGAAUUCGAAUCUCUAAUAUUCCAAUUGAUUGAAAACAUUCUCUGUCUCAGUAUUUCUUCCUUUGUGUAAGAAGUUUGAACUGUUUAUCUUUUUGUCUCUCAAUUUUAUAUGUUAGGGGUUUUCUUUCUCAUACCUCAUUUAUGUGACAAAGCAAAAUAUGUAAAAUAUUGUCUGAAACUUGACAAAACAUCUGGUCUCAGAUGCCCUUGAUCAGUUACAGUUAUUUAGAGAAUGGGAAUCAGUCCAUACUAUAAAUUCUCCAUCAAACUUAAAGAGAUGUUUUUUUUCUUGGAAUUGUCAACAUUCUCAUAGUUCUUAAAGGUCCAUGCUUAUUGAAUUCAUCUGAUUCAGCCCAACUCAGGUGCUCUAUCUAUAUCUAUGUUUUCUCUAAGUUUUUGUUUCUCCUUUUUGCCCUGAAAAUCGUACGAAGUUUCAAUGUAAUAUCAAUAUAUCAGCACUUGAAACAUCUUCUGGUGAUUUUUUG
Non-coding RNA from Lactuca sativa (garden lettuce), 1286 nucleotides. Lineage: Eukaryota; Viridiplantae; Streptophyta; Magnoliopsida; Asterales; Asteraceae. The record is from RefSeq and is a predicted model, not a curated record.